RNAcentral lists this transfer RNA (76 nucleotides) under Candidatus Bathyarchaeota archaeon. Its description in RNAcentral is "tRNA-Thr". It matches the Rfam family "tRNA". From Rfam's summary of the family: Transfer RNA (tRNA) molecules are approximately 80 nucleotides in length. The record is from RNAcentral. Lineage: Archaea; Thermoproteati; Candidatus Bathyarchaeota.
GCCUCUGUAGCCUAGCGGUUAAGGCGCUACCCUUGUAAGGUGGAGAUCGUGGGUUCAAAUCCCACCAGAGGCUCCA